This is a long non-coding RNA of Rhinichthys klamathensis goyatoka, 191 nucleotides long. RefSeq lists it as uncharacterized. The transcript has 2 exons. The record is from RefSeq and is a predicted model, not a curated record. NCBI's taxonomy places the organism in Eukaryota, Metazoa, Chordata, Actinopteri, Cypriniformes, Leuciscidae.
CAGUUGUUCAAAGGUAAGCUGAUCGGAUUUUGGUUAUCGGAUUGGAUCAAAUCUUGAAAAUGGGUUAUCACUGACUGAAUCCAAUCCUAGUUUUAAUCUGGAUCAAACCUUCAGUUUGUGUUGUUCAAAACUUGUCAGUAGGAUUUGGAUAACUUUGAUAAAAAAAAAACCCAGGAUUAUCCUGAUCCCAA